CACGGGCUAAGGUCGCGCAGGCGACCGGUACCGAUUUUCAUCACGCAGUAAGAGAUAAAGCCCAGCGCGAUACCUUC
This 77-nucleotide transfer RNA is filed under the name Salmonella sp. FORC89. RNAcentral's name for it is "tRNA-Pro". Lineage: Bacteria; Pseudomonadati; Pseudomonadota; Gammaproteobacteria; Enterobacterales; Enterobacteriaceae. The record is from RNAcentral.